RNAcentral lists this long non-coding RNA (406 nucleotides) under Mustela putorius furo (domestic ferret). RNAcentral describes it as "lncRNA (ENSMPUG00000027318.1)". Lineage: Eukaryota; Metazoa; Chordata; Mammalia; Carnivora; Mustelidae. The record is from RNAcentral.
GGGCGAAGUCGUGGAAGGUGAAGAUUCCAUCUCUCUCCACACUCUGAGGAGAGACCAGCCGGGAAGAGUGGCUAGCCAUGACCGUGUUCUCCGGAUCCAGGCAUCUGACACAGUCAUUGGACAAACAUCGGGAUUAAGAAAACAAACACUGCAAAUUCUGAGAAAAUUGGGGAAGGAUGUGUUCUCAGAACCUGCUUGGGUGGCUGUUACCAGGAGAACAUGGCAAGAGGACAUUAGAAUCGUUCUUAGAAUCCAAAGUGCCGGCAACAACCAAAUCAGUAAGAUUUGUAUAAUAUUGUGUGGACACUCACUUUAAAAUAGUUACCUGGAAGACUUGAACUACAAAUCUCCUUUUCACUUACUUAGAUUACCCGAUAAAUAAAUAGUUGGCAAUUUUGCCUCUUCU